UUCUGAAGGGCUCCGACAAAAACAUAAGUUCAUAGGAAAAUAUUAAAUAUGCAAGCUAUAAUAUAUGAUCUAAACGAUAUAUCUUUUUGCUGACCCUUAAAUAGUAUGCACCUGACAAAUCUUUUUUACAUGUUGACGCCCAUUAUUAUUUCCAUUUAGUUUUGACAGUUUUAAAUGCUGGUUAUAGUAUGUGAAUGGUAUAGACACACUAAAAUCAGUUUGAGUUAGAAUAAGGAAAUCAUCAAAAAAAUAUAAGCUAGUCAAAACCAGAUUUAAAAUUAUUUUGAAGUCUAAUUUAUUUGACAAAACGUCAUCGAAAUUGAGUAUGAAUUUAAUCUGAUUGGACAAGUUGCAAUGUUAAGUGGUGCACUGUGGUUUUGUGUACGUAAAAAAAGCUAAAAUCUAAUGUUUAACCCAGAGACAUCGUCAUUUUUUUUCUUUCUUUUUAUUUUCAAUUCCUCUGAGCAAGGGUAUAUAUACUGUUAUAAAGUAUAUCUGAUAAAUUCAACACCACACGAAAACAAACAGAAUGAAGUCGAUUUUAGUUCUUGCUGCAUUGCUUUCCAUGGCAAUAGCGACACCAUAUUAUGGUGGAUACAGAUGGCGAGGCGACUAUGGGGACGAGGACGACGGUUGGAGGUAUAGGGGCUUCGGUGGUUACAUACGUUAUGGAGGCGACAACGGAUAUGGAGAUAAUGGAGGAUACGGUCACGGUGGAGGAUAUGGGAUAAUGAUGGAUGGGGGGUACCCUGGAAGGUACAGACCUUACUGGCCAAAAGGGAAACCAUGGAAACAUUAUUAAAGACAAGGACGACAAAGUGAUCCACUUGGGGAAAACAACAACAACAACAGUUUUGUCUGAAAACUCGCACAGUUUAUUCUGAUCUAUGAUUUUUUUAUAUAAAAGAAGAAAAGAAUGUAAAUUGAUAUAGCGUUUUUAUAAAUAAAAUGAAUGGUUUAC
Molecule: long non-coding RNA, 961 nt
Organism: Ruditapes philippinarum (Manila clam)
Lineage: Eukaryota; Metazoa; Mollusca; Bivalvia; Venerida; Veneridae
Exons: 4
Source: RefSeq, a predicted model, not a curated record